RNAcentral lists this ribosomal RNA (465 nucleotides) under uncultured bacterium. RNAcentral's name for it is "partial 16S ribosomal RNA". It matches the Rfam family "Bacterial small subunit ribosomal RNA", at positions 28 to 507 of the family's 1533-position model. The record is from RNAcentral.
GACGAACGCUGGCGGCGUGCUUAACACAUGCAAGUCGAACGGAAAGGCCCUGCUUGCAGGGUACUCGAGUGGCGAACGGGUGAGUAACACGCGGGUGAUUUGCCCUCCACUUCGGGUUAAGCCUGGGAAACUGGGUCUAAUACCGGAUAGGAGCUAUUUUUAGUGUGAUGGUUGGAAAGUUUUUUCGGUGUAGGAUGAGCUGGCUGCCUAUCGGCUUGUUGGUGGGGUAAUGGCCUACCAAGGCGGCGACGGGUAGCCGGACUGAGAGGGUGGCCGGCGACAUUGGGACUGAGGGACGGCACAGACUGCUACGGGAGGGAGCAGUGGGGAAUAUUGAACAAUGGGCGCAAGCCUGAUGCAGCGACGCCGCGUGGGGGAUGACGGCGUUCGGGUUGAAAAAUACUUUCGCAAGGGACGAAGCUUUUUGUGACGGUACCUAGAUAAGAAGCACCGGCUAACUACGUG